Molecule: non-coding RNA, 98 nt
Organism: Acanthosepion pharaonis
Lineage: Eukaryota; Metazoa; Mollusca; Cephalopoda; Sepiida; Sepiidae
Source: the annotation of a GenBank genome assembly
UGAAAGGUCAGUUCCCUUACGAUCACCGAAAUUAAGCAACGUCGAGACUGGUCAGCACUUAGAUGGGUGACCACUUAGGAACACCAGGUCAGCUGUAA